This 422-nucleotide ribosomal RNA is filed under the name uncultured bacterium. Its description in RNAcentral is "bacterial SSU rRNA". It matches the Rfam family "Bacterial small subunit ribosomal RNA", at positions 358 to 773 of the family's 1533-position model. The record is from RNAcentral.
GGAAUUGUUCGCAAUGGGCGAAAGCCUGACGACGCAACGCCGCGUGAAGGAUGAAGGUCUUCGGAUUGUAAACUUCUGUUGCCUGGAAAGAAUGGCCUCGCCCCAAUACGUCGAGGCUUGACGGUACCAGGUGACGAAGCCCCGGCUACCCCUGUGCCAGCAGCCGCGGUAAUACAGCGGGGGCAAGCGUUGGUCGGAAUUACUGGGCGUAAAGGGCGCGGAGGCGGCCUGUUAAGUCGAACGUGAAAUCCCCAGGCUCAACCUGGGAACUGCGCUCGAGACUGGCAGGCUCGAAUCCGGGAGAGGGAUGUGGAAUUCCAGGUGUAGCGGUGAAAUGCGUAGAUAUCUGGAGGAACACCGGUGGCGAAGGCGACAUCCUGGACCGGUAUUGACGCUGAGGCGCGAAAGCCAGGGUAGCAAAC